This is a small nuclear RNA of Suncus etruscus (white-toothed pygmy shrew), 104 nucleotides long. The record is from RefSeq and is a predicted model, not a curated record. Lineage: Eukaryota; Metazoa; Chordata; Mammalia; Eulipotyphla; Soricidae.
GUGCUCACUUUGGCAGCACAUAUACUGAAAUUGAAACAAUACAGAGGUUAGCAUGGCCCCUGCACAAGGAUGACAUGCAGAUUCAUGAAGUGUUCCAUAUAAAA